GGGGUGAAAGGCCAAUCAAACCGGGAGAUAGCUGGUUCUCCCCGAAAGCUAUUUAGGUAGCGCCUCGUGAACUCAUCUUCGGGGGUAGAGCACUGUUUCGGCUAGGGGUCAUCCCGACUUACCAACCGAUGCAAACUACGAAUACCGAAGAAUGUUAUCACGGGAGACACACGGCGGGUGCUAACGUCCGUCGUGAAGAGGGAAACAACCCAGACCGCCAGCUAAGGUCCCAAAGUCAUGGUUAAGUGGGAAACGAUGUGGGAAGGCACAGACAGCCAGGAUGUUGGCUUAGAAGCAGCCAUCAUUUAAAGAAAGCGUAAUAGCUCACUGGUCGAGUCGGCCUGCGCGGAAGAUGUAACGGGGCUAAACCAUGCACCGAAGCUGCGGCAGCGACACUCAGGUGUUGUUGGGUAGGGGAGCGUUCUGUAAGCCGUUGAAGGUGGCCUGUGAGGGUUGCUGGAGGUAUCAGAAGUGCGAAUGCUGACAUAAGUAACGAUAAAGCGGGUGAAAAGCCCGCUCGCCGGAAGACCAAGGGUUCCUGUCCAACGUUAAUCGGGGCAGGGUGAGUCGACCCUAAGGCGAGGCCGAAAGGCGUAGUCGAUGGGAAACAGGUUAAUAUUCCUGUACUCGGUUGUUACUGCGAAGGGGGGACGGAGAAGGCUAUGUUAGCCGGGCGACGGUUGUCCCGGUUUAAGCAUGUAGGCGGAGAGUUUAGGUAAAUCCGGACUCUUAUUAACGCUGAGGUGUGAUGACGAGGCACUACGGUGCUGAAGUAACAAAUGCCCUGCUUCCAGGAAAAGCCUCUAAGCAUCAGGUAACAUCAAAUCGUACCCCAAACCGACACAGGUGGUCAGGUAGAGAAUACCAAGGCGCUUGAGAGAACUCGGGUGAAGGAACUAGGCAAAAUGGUGCCGUAACUUCGGGAGAAGGCACGCUGAUACCAGGUGAAGUGACUUGCUCACGGAGCUGAAAUCAGUCGAAGAUACCAGCUGGCUGCAACUGUUUAUUAAAAACACAGCACUGUGCAAACACGAAAGUGGACGUAUACGGUGUGACGCCUGCCCGGUGCCGGAAGGUUAAUUGAUGGGGUUAUCCGUAAGGAGAAGCUCUUGAUCGAAGCCCCGGUAAACGGCGGCCGUAACUAUAACGGUCCUAAGGUAGCGAAAUUCCUUGUCGGGUAAGUUCCGACCUGCACGAAUGGCGUAAUGAUGGCCAGGCUGUCUCCACCCGAGACUCAGUGAAAUUGAACUCGCUGUGAAGAUGCAGUGUACCCGCGGCAAGACGGAAAGACCCCGUGAACCUUUACUAUAGCUUGACACUGAACAUUGAGCCUUGAUGUGUAGGAUAGGUGGGAGGCUUUGAAGCGUGGACGCCAGUCUGCGUGGAGCCAACCUUGAAAUACCACCCUUUAAUGUUUGAUGUUCUAACGUAGACCCGUGAUCCGGGUUGCGGACAGUGUCUGGUGGGUAGUUUGACUGGGGCGGUCUCCUCCCAAAGAGUAACGGAGGAGCACGAAGGUUAGCUAAUCCUGGUCGGACAUCAGGAGGUUAGUGCAAUGGCAUAAGCUAGCUUGACUGCGAGCGUGACGGCGCGAGCAGGUGCGAAAGCAGGUCAUAGUGAUCCGGUGGUUCUGAAUGGAAGGGCCAUCGCUCAACGGAUAAAAGGUACUCCGGGGAUAACAGGCUGAUACCGCCCAAGAGUUCAUAUCGACGGCGGUGUUUGGCACCUCGAUGUCGGCUCAUCACAUCCUGGGGCUGAAGUAGGUCCCAAGGGUACGGCUGUUCGCCGUUUAAAGUGGUACGCGAGCUGGGUUUAGAACGUCGUGAGACAGUUCGGUCCCUAUCUGCCGUGGGCGCUGGAGAAUUGAGGGGGGCUGCUCCUAGUACGAGAGGACCGGAGUGGACGCAUCACUGGUGUUCGGGUUGUCAUGCCAAUGGCAUUGCCCGGUAGCUAAAUGCGGAAAAGAUAAGUGCUGAAAGCAUCUAAGCACGAAACUUGCCCGAGAUGAGUUCUCCCUGACUCCUUGAGAGUCCUGAAGGAACGUUGAAGACUACGACGUUGAUAGGUCGGGUGUGUAAGCGUAGCGAUACGUUGAGCUAACCGAUACUAAUGAACCGUGAGGCUUAACCUU
RNAcentral lists this ribosomal RNA (2131 nucleotides) under Klebsiella sp. NCTC 9187. RNAcentral's name for it is "Raoultella sp. NCTC 9187 23S ribosomal RNA". It matches the Rfam family "Bacterial large subunit ribosomal RNA", at positions 818 to 2925 of the family's 2925-position model. Lineage: Bacteria; Pseudomonadati; Pseudomonadota; Gammaproteobacteria; Enterobacterales; Enterobacteriaceae. The record is from RNAcentral.